This is a non-coding RNA of Ictidomys tridecemlineatus (thirteen-lined ground squirrel), 863 nucleotides long. NCBI's taxonomy places the organism in Eukaryota, Metazoa, Chordata, Mammalia, Rodentia, Sciuridae. The record is from RefSeq and is a predicted model, not a curated record.
UCAAGUGGGAGAAAGGCAGUUAUUUGGUUGGAGAGCAUAAGGUCCCUGUGUGAUCAAAGGCACUGUGGAAUCAGUGUGAAGGGUGGAUUUAAGUGGGGUAAUGCUAGAGGCAAGGGAGGAAGGCUUAAAAGGUCACUUCAAUCAUCUAGGCAAGAAUGACUGAGGGCCUAAGGAAGUAGGUUCUUUCUGAAGGCUACUAUGAAAUAGACCUGUAAGAUGUUAAAGAGGCACAAUUUACAGGGGACAGGGAAAAGGACCCAUCUACAAAGCUUCAGAUAUCUGACUUACAAAUUCUCUGCUUUUCCUUUCCAUCAUUCAUUACAGUCAUAAGUAGUCUUCUCUAGGCCAGGAUAACUCUGCCCUGCUUGGGUUUAGAAUAUGCGAUGGGCAUGUCCUGCAGUCACAAUCCUAGAUGAUGGCCCUAUGAAGACCAGUCAUCGUUAAGGUCUCAGGACAGCAGGUGGUAUGUGCUGUACCUUCGGCAAGGAGUACUUGGGCAGCUUGAUCUGAGCAAAGGCCUCUCUUCGAUAGGAUACAUAGUAGCUGGCUCUUCCACCGGUAGUUACCUGGAUUGGGAAAAACACAAAAGAGAUCAGAUGGGAUCACAGAUCAUGGCACUAUUGGAAAGUACUAGCCUCUCCAUCAACAACCACAAUAGGUUUAAUUGGGCUCCUGGCCAGUGAAAAUGAUUCCUUUGGACAAAUGCAUUGACCAUUAAACACAUCUGUCUCUUCUGACUUGUUCUCGCUUUCACCGUGACCAAGACUAACCUGACAUAGCCUUUAUUUUUUUUUUCAUUCAUCCUAUUUCUGAAUGAUGGCUCCACCAUGGAAAAUAAAGAAAAAUAUGCCUGAAAACUGAAA